This 76-nucleotide transfer RNA is filed under the name Candidatus Methylumidiphilus alinenensis. RNAcentral describes it as "Candidatus Methyloumidiphilus alinensis tRNA-Trp". It matches the Rfam family "tRNA". Rfam says of the family: Transfer RNA (tRNA) molecules are approximately 80 nucleotides in length. Their secondary structure includes four short double-helical elements and three loops (D, anti-codon, and T loops). Further hydrogen bonds mediate the characteristic L-shaped molecular structure. tRNAs have two regions of fundamental functional importance: the anti-codon, which is responsible for specific mRNA codon recognition, and the 3' end, to which the tRNAs corresponding amino acid is attached (by aminoacyl-tRNA synthetases). tRNAs cope with the degeneracy of the genetic code in two manners: having more than one tRNA (with a specific anti-codon) for a particular amino acid; and 'wobble' base-pairing, i.e. permitting non-standard base-pairing at the 3rd anti-codon position. Lineage: Bacteria; Pseudomonadati; Pseudomonadota; Gammaproteobacteria; Methylococcales. The record is from RNAcentral.
AGGUCAGUAGCUCAAUUGGUAGAGCACCGGUCUCCAAAACCGGGGGUUGGGGGUUCGAUCCCCUCCUGGCCUGCCA